RNAcentral lists this small RNA (323 nucleotides) under Salmonella enterica subsp. enterica serovar Agona str. SL483. Its description in RNAcentral is "RtT RNA". The stretch from base 38 to 171 matches the Rfam family "RtT RNA". Lineage: Bacteria; Pseudomonadati; Pseudomonadota; Gammaproteobacteria; Enterobacterales; Enterobacteriaceae. The record is from RNAcentral.
CAAAUUCAGAAACCCUGCUCAACGAGCAGGGUUUUUUUGUAUCUGAAGCCUGACGAGGAUGAGAACCUCCGGGGGCAAGAGGUUCGACCCGAGCGAAGCGAGAGAACGUUGCGUCAGCAACGGCCCGCAGGGCGAGCCACGCAGUGGCGAGUCAUCCUCUAUCACCGACCAAAUUCAGAAACCCUGCUCAACGAGCAGGGUUUUUUGUAUCUGAAGCCUGACGAGGAUGAGAACCUCCGGGGGCAAGAGGUUCGACCCGAGCGAAGCGAGAGAACGUUGCGUCAGCAACGGCCCGCAGGGCGAGCCAUCCUCUAUCACCGGCA